ACGGGCUAGCGAUCCCAUAAACCGUGGCUCAGUUCAGAUCGUAGGCUGCAACUCGCCUACGUGAAGUAGGAAUCGCUAGUAAUCGCAGGUCAGCAUACUGCGGUGAAUACGUUCCCGGGCCUUGUACACACCGCCCGUCACACCAUGGAAGUUGGCCAUGCCCGAAGUCGUUACUCCAACCCUUGUGGAGGAGGACGCCGAAGGUGGGGCUAAUGACUGGGGUGAAGUCGUAACAAGGUAGCCGUACCGGAAGGUGCGGCUGGAUCACCUCCUAA
This 275-nucleotide ribosomal RNA is filed under the name uncultured Prochlorococcus sp. RNAcentral describes it as "partial 16S ribosomal RNA". It matches the Rfam family "Bacterial small subunit ribosomal RNA", at positions 1260 to 1533 of the family's 1533-position model. The record is from RNAcentral. Lineage: Bacteria; Bacillati; Cyanobacteriota; Cyanophyceae; Synechococcales; Prochlorococcaceae.